RNAcentral lists this non-coding RNA (211 nucleotides) under Limosilactobacillus panis. RNAcentral describes it as "Lactobacillus panis T-box sequence". It matches the Rfam family "T-box leader". Rfam says of the family: Uncharged tRNA acts as the effector for transcription antitermination of genes in the T-box leader family. T-boxes are found upstream of many aminoacyl-tRNA synthetase genes and some amino acid biosynthetic genes usually in Gram-positive bacteria. The anticodon of a specific tRNA base pairs to a specifier sequence within the T-box motif, and the NCCA acceptor tail of the tRNA base pairs to a conserved bulge in the T-box antiterminator hairpin. Lineage: Bacteria; Bacillati; Bacillota; Bacilli; Lactobacillales; Lactobacillaceae. The record is from RNAcentral.
UUAAUAUUUUUGAUCGUGAUAGAAGUAGUAGUUAACGGUGCGACUCUUAGAGACCUGCUGGUGGUGGAAAGCAGGAGGGCAUUGUUAGCGAACUCGUCUAGAAGAUUGCUACUGAAUUGAGUAGGUAGUGACGUCUGCCGCGUUAAGGCCUUAAGUGCUAUGGGUGGCCAUAGAAAACGGGUGGUACCGCGGAUUAGAUUUCGUCUCGUCG